This is a long non-coding RNA of Alosa sapidissima (American shad), 1856 nucleotides long. RefSeq lists it as uncharacterized. The record is from RefSeq and is a predicted model, not a curated record. The transcript has 3 exons. NCBI's taxonomy places the organism in Eukaryota, Metazoa, Chordata, Actinopteri, Clupeiformes, Clupeidae.
CUUUCUGCUGGAAAACAGUCAGUCAGAGCGCUGUGGAAGGAACUCUGAAAGGAGAAGUAUUGAGUUAAAUCUGUUUCAAAAUCAAAUUCAGUAUCACAAUGGUACCAUUAAAAGCAGUUGAAUGGUACUUCACUGUCGAGAGUGAUCUAGCUUGAGGAGAUGCUGUCUUAGGAGCUUAAUUAUAUGUUGAAGAAAGACAUGUUUUUUUUUUUUAUUCUCACGAUUCUUGUAAGCAACGUGGAUAGAAUGCUUCCAUCAAAAAGGCAAUCAUUAAGUCUUCUCUGAUGUGAAGACCAUGGCAGACAGCUUAAUGUGCUCUGAUUGUAAUGUGAUUAGCACUUAAGUAACGCAUCACAAAAUAAUUUCUUUCUUUUUCUUUAGAGUGAUGCUAAUACCAUAAUAGCCACAUCACUCUGAUGGUCGCGGCUGUUCUCCAUGACAACCACAUGAGAGCAGCAACAGUCAGGCGAGACCUUCGUUGUUCUUUGCUGUGGUGAUUAGUCUAUUGAGUUUAGCAUGUGCGAAAGAAGUGCCUUUUGAAAUGACUGAUAGGGCUGUACAGGGUCGUGCAAAAUUCUAAUUGCUAUUCUGCUUCCUGUUUGCUACCUCAGUUGAAAUGCAAGUAAAAUCAAGAACUAAAAUGGAAUUGAAGAGCCAGCUUCAAUUCAAUUCUGGAAUGUUGCAGAACCCUGCUGUACAUACACAUAAUGUUGUAUUUCCAUGACGUAUCUGUAGAACGAGUUGCAGAACCCUGCUUUACAUAGCCUACACGUAAUGUCGUAUUUCCAUGAUGUAGCGGCCUAUCUGUAGAACGAGUGCAGUAAAUGGAGCAAAGAGUGUGUAAGCCCAGCCUCCAACACAUGCACCCGCCCUCGGCAGUCUGGUUCUAUCAGAGCGCUACACAUUAUCUGGAGCAGAGAAUCUCAGUACUUGAGUGGACAAUGCUCAACAGCAUUCUUCACACUCAGACCUUGUAAAAUUAAACCAACCAAGCCUAGGUCCUAUAUGAGAGUGAGAAAGAAUUGCCUAUCCAGUGGUGAGAUCCUGCUUUGUUGCCAGAACAAUUAGGAGUCUUUCCCCUUUGUUAUGUUCUGAGUCCCGAUUAUGUGGUCGGUGGAAAGUGAUCGAUGCUGGGGCUCAUCAGCUGUGAUGGAUCUACCUGAGAAAUGCAUGCAGGGUCAGGUUAAUGGAGACAUACGACUCCUCCACCCUUUCACCCACCUGCAUCCGUCACACCAAGCACCCAAGCCACAUUCACAGUGCAAGAUGCAAAGCAACGCAACAUGGCAUGUACAACAGGAUAACAGUACUUCCUUGACGUCAAACCCAUAACACUGGUGUUGUUAGCAUCUUGAUUGAUGAGCUGAACAACAUGAGGGGACACUGUGUUCAAGGAGAACUGAGCAGACAACGAUGGUAACUGAUGAUUAUGUAACCAGUGAAUCAUUUCAUAGGGACUUUUAAGGGCUAUACCGUUUCCAUCUUUAAAGGCAUGUGGAAGAGGACAUUUAUUUCUGGUGGAACAUCAUAGAGUUCUCUCUAGGUGUGUAUGUGUGUGUGUGAAUGAAUGUGAAUGCAGGUUAAGGCCAUCAUUCUCUGAUCUUACCACUGCUCCAGGGGGGUCGGGGGGGUCAGGUUGGAGAGAGAGAAAUGCCAGAUCCUAUUAAUUUUCUACGUUUCCCUGCUGCUUUUUUCUGAACCUUAUGACAUUGUGUGCAGUUGGAUUAAAAAGGUGCACUCAAGACUGUUCCUUGUGGCACUGCCGUUGGAUAAAAAGGUGCCCUCAAGACUGUGUUCCCUGGAACUGCUGAAAUACAUACAGAGGUAGAGGAUGUACCAUCUGUAAAAACUUUGAA